AGAGUUUGAUCAUGGCUCAGGACGAACGCUGGCGGCGUUAACACAUGCAAGUCGAGCGGAAAGGCCCUUUCGGGGGUACUCGAGCGGCGAACGGGUGAGUAACACGUGAGUAACCUGCCUCUGGCUUUGGGAUAACCCUCGGAAACGGGGGCUAAUACCGAAUAUUCAUUCUCGCAGGCAUCUGUGGGGUUGGAAAGUUUUUCGGCCAGGGAUGGGCUCGCGGCCUAUCAGCUUGUUGGUGGGGUAAUGGCCUACCAAGGCUUCGACGGGUAGCCGGCCUGAGAGGGCGACCGGCCACACUGGGACUGAGACACGGCCCAGACUCCUACGGGAGGCAGCAGUGGGGAAUAUUGCACAAUGGGCGGAAGCCUGAUGCAGCGACGCCGCGUGAGGGAUGACGGCCUUCGGGUUGUAAACCUCUUUCGACAGGGACGAAGCGCGAGUGACGGUACCUGGAGAAGAAGCACCGGCCAACUACGUGCCAGCAGCCGCGGUAAGACGUAGGGUGCGAGCGUUGUCCGGAUUUAUUGGGCGUAAAGAGCUCGUAGGCGGCUCGUCGCGUCGACCGUGAAAACCCACAGCUUAACUGUGGGCUUGCGGUUGAUACGGGCGGGCUAGAGUUCGGUAGGGGAGACUGGAAUUCCUGGUGUAGCGGUGAAAUGCGCAGAUAUCAGGAGGAACACCGGUGGCGAAGGCGGGUCUCUGGGCCGAUACUGACGCUGAGGAGCGAAAGCGUGGGGAGCGAACAGGAUUAGAUACCCUAGUAGUCC
This 770-nucleotide ribosomal RNA is filed under the name uncultured bacterium. Its description in RNAcentral is "bacterial SSU rRNA". It matches the Rfam family "Bacterial small subunit ribosomal RNA", at positions 8 to 796 of the family's 1533-position model. The record is from RNAcentral.